Molecule: ribosomal RNA, 780 nt
Filed under: uncultured bacterium
Lineage: Bacteria
Description: bacterial SSU rRNA
Rfam family: Bacterial small subunit ribosomal RNA
Source: RNAcentral
AGAGUUUGAUCAUGGCUCAGGACGAACGCUGGCGGCGUGCUUAACACAUGCAAGUCGAACGGAAAGCGCUCUUCGGAGUGACUCGAGUGGCGAACGGGUGAGUAACACGUGGGUGAUCUGCCCUGCACUCUGGGAUAAGCCUGGGAAACUGGGUCUAAUACCGGAUAGGACCAUGGCCUGCAUGGGUUGUGGUGGAAAGCUUUUUGCGGUGUGGGAUGGGCCCGCGGCCUAUCAGCUUGUUGGUGGGGUGAUGGCCUACCAAGGCUGCGACGGGUAGCCGGCCUGAGAGGGUGUCCGGCCACACUGGGACUGAGAUACGGCCCAGACUCCUACGGGAGGCAGCAGUGGGGAAUAUUGCACAAUGGGCGCAAGCCUGAUGCAGCGACGCCGCGUGGGGGAUGACGGCCUUCGGGUUGUAAACCUCUUUCACCAUCGACGAAGCCUCUUCGGGGGUGACGGUAGGUGGAGAAGAAGCACCGGCCAACUACGUGCCAGCAGCCGCGGUAAUACGUAGGGUGCGAGCGUUGUCCGGAAUUACUGGGCGUAAAGAGCUCGUAGGUGGUUUGUCGCGUUGUUCGUGAAAUGCCACAGCUUAACUGUGGGCGUGCGGGCGAUACGGGCAGACUGGAGUACUGCAGGGGAGACUGGAAUUCCUGGUGUAGCGGUGGAAUGCGCAGAUAUCAGGAGGAACACCGGUGGCGAAGGCGGGUCUCUGGGCAGUAACUGACGCUGAGGAGCGAAAGCGUGGGGAGCGAACAGGAUUAGAUACCCCGGUAGUCC